AAGUCGUAACAAGGUAACCGUAGGUGAACCUGCGGUUGGAUCAUUAAUAAAUGUUUCUAAACCUAGGAUUGCUUUUUCCUUUGGAGUCCUCACGGAUAACAAUGGGACUGGCAUUUCCUAUACACAUACCUGUUGAACUGUGAUUGACUUUGAAAGGGAUGUUUGAAAGCAUCUCACGAUCUUUUAGCCCCCCUUUCAAAACUUUUAACAUACAAAGACCUUUCUUAAAGGAUAUGAACUUGACUUUCGAGUUGAGGAAAUUGACUAUAUAAAGAAAAACAACUUUUGACAACGGAUCUCUUGGCUCUC
This 309-nucleotide unclassified non-coding RNA is filed under the name fungal sp. RNAcentral describes it as "partial internal transcribed spacer region". The stretch from base 1 to 46 matches the Rfam family "Eukaryotic small subunit ribosomal RNA", at positions 1786 to 1831 of the family's 1831-position model. Lineage: Eukaryota; Fungi. The record is from RNAcentral.